This 227-nucleotide ribosomal RNA is filed under the name uncultured bacterium. RNAcentral describes it as "partial 16S ribosomal RNA". It matches the Rfam family "Bacterial small subunit ribosomal RNA", at positions 118 to 348 of the family's 1533-position model. The record is from RNAcentral.
UGAGCAACCUGCCCUUGACUCUGGAAUAACAGCUGGAAACAGCUGCUAAUACCGGAUACGACCUCCGAUGGCAUCAUCUGGAGGUGGAAAGCUCCGGCGGAGAAGGAUGAGCUCGCGGCCUAUCAGCUUGUUGGUGGGGUAACGCCCACAAGGCGACGACGGGUAGCCGGCCUGAGAGGGCGACCGGCCACACUGGGACUGAGACACGGUCCAGACUCCGUAGGAGG